AAGUUUAAGUUCAACAUUUUAUUAAACAAACUGGAGACAGUAAACACUCCUGAAAUAGACAUUAGAGGGAGGUCCAUCAGUAGCCUUGGUAACAAGACCUGGGGUAGAGGGAGGUCCAUCAGUAGCCUUGAUAACAAGGCCUAGGAUAGAGGAAUGUCAAUCAGUACCAUUGGUAACAAGGUCUGGGGUAGAGGGAGGUCCAUUAGUACCAUUGGUAACAAGGCCUGGGGUAGAGGGAGGUCCAUCAGUAGCCUUGGUAACAAGGCCUGGGGUAGAGGGAGGUCCAUUAGUACCAUUGGUAACAAGGCCUGGGGUAGAGGGAGGUCCAUCAGUAGCCUUGGUAACAAGGCCUGGGGUAGAGGGAGGUCCAUCAGUAGCAUUGGUAACAAGGCCUGGGCUAGAGGGAGGUCCAUUAGUACCAUUGGUAACAAGGCCUGGGGUAGAGGGAGGUUCUGACAGAGCUCUGAUGAUACAAGCAGGUGCAAAGGGGACACAACAUGUCCUUGUCCCAGUCCUGUCUUCUUCUGUCUCUGAUUCACCUUCACUUAUGGUGACAGAGAGAUGCUCCCCACCCUGUUCACCUUCUGGACAGGG
RNAcentral lists this long non-coding RNA (594 nucleotides) under Salmo salar (Atlantic salmon). RNAcentral describes it as "lncRNA (ENSSSAG00000111143.1)". The record is from RNAcentral. Lineage: Eukaryota; Metazoa; Chordata; Actinopteri; Salmoniformes; Salmonidae.